This 861-nucleotide ribosomal RNA is filed under the name uncultured fungus. Its description in RNAcentral is "partial 18S ribosomal RNA". It matches the Rfam family "Eukaryotic small subunit ribosomal RNA", at positions 612 to 1401 of the family's 1831-position model. The record is from RNAcentral. Lineage: Eukaryota; Fungi.
GUUGUGGAUAAACGUCGUAUUUAACCCUGGGUCCUGGCUGGCCGGCCCCCCUCACCGCGUGCCCUGGUCCGGCCGGGCCUUUCCCUCUGCGGAACCCCGGCCCUUCACUGGGUGGGGCGGGAAAACAGGACUUUUACUUUAAAAAAUUUAGAGUGCUCAGGGCCGGCCUAUGCUCAAAUACUUUACCAGGAAAAAAUAGAAUAGGACUGGGGGUUUUUUUUUUUUGUUUCCUCGGCCCCCCUAAAUGAUAAAAAGGGACGGCGGGGGGCUUCUUUUUUCAUUUGUGAAAGGUGAAUUUUUUGGAUUUAUUGAAAAUUAAUUACUGCAAAAUUUUUGCUAAGGAUUUUUUCCUUAAUCAGGAACGAAAGUUAGGGGGAAAAAUGAUUCCCACAUCCCCCUCAUACUCAUCACCAUCCACUACGGCGACGAGAGAGGAGAAUAUGUUAUUUUUUCCACCUCGUCACCAUACAAAAAGAAAUCUUUCUGGUUGCGGUCCAGGGUGAGGUGGUCGGAUGACUGUUAAUUAAAUUCACUGACCGAACCACAACUCCAUGGAUGGAGCCUGCGGCUUCACUCGACUCAGCAAGCUCAACUCGUCAAGACACAAAGAAAAUGGAGAGAGUGAGACCUCUUUCUCAUUUUCGGGUAUGGUGGUUCAUGGUCCAUGAUAGUACUGCAUUGGAUUUGUCACUAGACUGCAAAAUUGAGAUAACGCAUAACCAUCAAACCCGCGGCAUAGCUUGGGCUGAUCUGGUUUCUGCGGGACACAAGAUUGACUCUCAGAAAAUUCAACAUAACUCGCUGAAUCCCUGAAAAUUCUGCCCUAGCGCGCAGGCACACUACAGGAAUAUCUUGAUCAAU